UCAAUCCUGACUGGGUCCAAAAGCAUCACAAUGACAGGAAGUCUGCUUCAGUGGUAACAGGAGAAGUCUUUUUUUUUUUUUCAGACAAUGCUUCCAGCGUCUUACCAUGGACAGGAUGACCAGAGCAGGAACGGCUCCCAUGGCGACAUAUCCCACCACAUAUACAACGUCGAAAAGACAUGAUGUUACCUCUCAUGGAAGAAGAAGACAUACAGGGACCCUAAAGCAGCCAUGACCCAGAUCAGCCAUCGCAUGUGACACGCCCAAGGACCCAGAUCCCUCAGCAUCAACCUGACGACAGACACAGACCUACCAGGGAGAGUAAGAGGCCGCAAUGAAGAAGUAGAUGGCCAUUCGGUCGCACAUGUGGAAACGUUGCUCCACCUUUCUGGAAAUGAACACACAAAUACACGGAUUACAGUCAGGUAAGGAUACAUCGGGAUAUGCUAGGCUAGGCUAGUAGCUAGCCUGUGUGGUGUGCGAGGUGUCACUAUGUCAGUAUUAUAGUUCUUUAGCGUAACACUGUUAUGAAUGUGGAGCGUUGUUGAAGGCUUUAUAGGCAGAAUGGAUGCGUCCAAUUACGCGCCUCUUUUUAGCUGUUUUGUAUGUUUUUAAUACACAUAUGUUCGUGUAUCGGACAUCCCGAGUUAAUAUUUUUACUUUACGCUCAUAUAAUUACAGCAUUAUGGUUAAAUUAUAGUUUAGAAUAAUAAAACAGCAGCCAUGGUGCAAAAAUGGCCCCUGCGCCA
This is a non-coding RNA of Doryrhamphus excisus (bluestripe pipefish), 749 nucleotides long. The record is from RefSeq and is a predicted model, not a curated record. NCBI's taxonomy places the organism in Eukaryota, Metazoa, Chordata, Actinopteri, Syngnathiformes, Syngnathidae.